GUGCUCGCUUCGGCAGCACAUAUACUAAGAUUGGAACGAUACAGAGAAGAUUAGCAUGGCCCCGCGCAAGGAUGACACACGAAUUCGUGAAGCGUUCCAUAUUUUU
This 106-nucleotide small nuclear RNA is filed under the name Sciurus vulgaris (Eurasian red squirrel). Lineage: Eukaryota; Metazoa; Chordata; Mammalia; Rodentia; Sciuridae. The record is from RNAcentral.